AUACUUAGCUGGCGGGGGAUAAGCCAUGAUCACAAAGGCGGUUUUCUCAGGGCAAGGCUUGUCCCUUGCACACCAGAUGUGCUGACCCCUGAGAUUUCCCCAGGUGUGGGAAACUCAACUGUAUAAUUUGUGGUAGCGGGAACUGUGUUCAUGCUAUGUAGUAUUCUUGCUAUGUAGUCCUGA
Small nuclear RNA from Mesocricetus auratus (golden hamster), 183 nucleotides. Its record names the gene U1. It matches the Rfam family "U1 spliceosomal RNA". From Rfam's summary of the family: U1 is a small nuclear RNA (snRNA) component of the spliceosome (involved in pre-mRNA splicing). The record is from Ensembl. Lineage: Eukaryota; Metazoa; Chordata; Mammalia; Rodentia; Cricetidae.